This 290-nucleotide ribosomal RNA is filed under the name uncultured bacterium. Its description in RNAcentral is "partial 16S ribosomal RNA". It matches the Rfam family "Bacterial small subunit ribosomal RNA", at positions 773 to 1060 of the family's 1533-position model. The record is from RNAcentral.
GUGGAUUAGAUACCCUGGUAGUCCACGCCGUAAACGAUGAGUGCUAGGCGUUGGGGGUAUUGACCCCCCCAGUGCCGCAGCUAACGCGUUAAGCACUCCGCCUGGGGAGUACGGCCGCAAGGCUAAAACUCAAAGGAAUUGACGGGGGCCCGCACAAGCGGUGGAGCAUGUGGUUUAAUUCGACGCAACGCGAAGAACCUUACCUGGGUUAAAUCCACCGGAAUCCUUAGGAGACUAGGGAGUGCCCUUCGGGGAACCGGUGAGAAGGUGCUGCACGGCCGUCGACAGCU